UACGGAGGGUGCGAGCGUUGUCCGGAAUCAUUGGGCGUAAAGGGCGCGUAGGUGGCCUGCUAAGCGUGCGGUGAAAGCUCGGGGCUCAACCCCGAGUCGGCCGUGCGAACUGGUGGGCUUGAGCACUGUAGAGGCAGGCGGAAUUCCGGGUGUAGCGGUGGAAUGCGUAGAGAUCCGGAAGAACACCGGUGGCGAAGGCGGCCUGCUGGGCAGUAGCUGACACUGAGGAGCGAAAGCGUGGGGAGCGAACAGG
This 253-nucleotide ribosomal RNA is filed under the name uncultured bacterium. RNAcentral's name for it is "partial 16S ribosomal RNA". It matches the Rfam family "Bacterial small subunit ribosomal RNA", at positions 524 to 776 of the family's 1533-position model. The record is from RNAcentral.